CGGCAACAGCUCAAAUUUGAAAUCUGGCCCCUAGGGUCCGAGUUGUAAUUUGCAGAGGAUGCUUUUGACAAGGUGCCUUCCGAGUUCCCUGGAACGGGACGCCAUAGAGGGUGAGAAUCCCGUACGUGCCCGGUGGCCGCCCCCGUGUGAAGCUCCUUCGAC
RNAcentral lists this ribosomal RNA (162 nucleotides) under Cordycipitaceae sp. RNAcentral describes it as "partial large subunit ribosomal RNA". It matches the Rfam family "Eukaryotic large subunit ribosomal RNA", at positions 99 to 261 of the family's 3401-position model. Lineage: Eukaryota; Fungi; Ascomycota; Sordariomycetes; Hypocreales; Cordycipitaceae. The record is from RNAcentral.